Molecule: ribosomal RNA, 264 nt
Filed under: uncultured bacterium
Lineage: Bacteria
Description: partial 16S ribosomal RNA
Rfam family: Bacterial small subunit ribosomal RNA
Source: RNAcentral
GUCCACGCCCUAAACGAUGUCGACUGGAUGUUGGUCACAAUUUGGUGAUCAGUAUCGAAGCUAACGCGUUAAGUCGACCGCCUGGGGAGUACGCACGCAAGUGUGAAACUCAAAGGAAUUGACGGGGGCCCGCACAAGCGGUGGAGUAUGUGGUUUAAUUCGAUGCAACGCGCAGAACCUUACCUGGCCUUGACAUGUCCGGAAUCCUUCAGAGAUGAGGGAGUGCCUUCGGGAAUCGGAACACAGGUGCUGCAUGGCUGUCGU